This 254-nucleotide ribosomal RNA is filed under the name uncultured bacterium. RNAcentral describes it as "partial 16S ribosomal RNA". It matches the Rfam family "Bacterial small subunit ribosomal RNA", at positions 526 to 779 of the family's 1533-position model. The record is from RNAcentral.
CGUAGGGGCGAGCGUUAUCCGGAUUCAUUGGGCGUAAAGCGCGCGUAGGCGGCCCGGCAGGCCGGGGUCGAAGCGGGGGGCUCAACCCCCCGAAGCCCCCGGAACCGUCCGCGGCUUGGGUCCGGGUAGGGGAGGGUGGAACACCCGGUGUAGCGGUGGAAUGCGCAGAUAUCGGGUGGAACACCGGUGGCGAAGGCGGCCCUCUGGGCCGAGACCGACGCUGAGGCGCGAAAGCUGGGGGAGCGAACAGGAUU